ACGAUUCAUGAAAUCAUAACUGGAGGAAAUCAAGUCAUAUAAAACAUAUGAUCAUGGCUUUGAAUUCUCCUCUAACUAUAAAGAAAUUAGUUCCUCAUGUUCGCAAAUAAACAAAAACAAAUAAAUCUAAACAUUGACAUAAAGAUAGAAAACACCUAGAAACGCUCCAACAAUCCAAGCUCCUUGAAUGGCAUGCACGGCUCCAAGAGUCUCCUUCUUCCUCCUUUGCAAACUCACGGCACACAAGGGAUGAUUGGGUGAAUGAUGUAGUGAAAAUCUGGUAGAAGGUGGUGUCUAAUGGUGCGGCAAAGGGGUGUAUUUAUAGGCUGAAAAUCCAGCCCCUAGGUAGCAAAGGAAAAGGUUUUAAAGGCCUAAGUUGCAUAGGAAAAUAAAACACAAUCCUUGAAGGAAAACAAAUCAGAAAUCCAAAGGGAAUGAGGGGAUAAGGUGCGGCACCAAACCAGGAAAGGAUAAGGGCUUCUAGAAACCAAAAUCCAAAGGGAAUUAGGUGAAACUCACGGCACAAAGUGGAGGGAAAGCGGCUGACUUGCAAUUCAAGGCCAAGGUCUUCUAGAAAAGUUCUAGGCGCCAUUUUUUGUAGGAAAGGAUUAGGUUUUCUAGAAAUCUGAUUUUAAGCAUCCUAAUCUAGCUAGGAAUCCUCCCAAGUAGCUGAAAUGUAGGUGGAUUAGGAUUAGGAUAAGAUAAGAUAGGUUUGGAUAGGAUAGGGUUUGGAUAAUGUUUUGGAUAAGGUUUCUUCACUUGAGCUGAUUCUUUGGCUUUAACUUCCCUUCUUCAAGUAGGAAACCUUGUUUGAGUAGGAAACUUCAAUCUUCUAGGAAUCCAACUUCACUUAGGAAUCAUUCCUCAACUAGGAAUCCAUGUUUGACUAGGAUUUCAUCUUCAAUUAAGCGCUUUCCCACUUCAAUUAGGAAACUUUGCCUCUUUAAGUCUUCAACUUUGAAACACAUUCCUAGCUCUUCAAUCCUUCAAAUUCGUCCAUUCUUUGUGUUCCACAUGCAUGAACUCCAUUCUAGCUCAAUUUUGCUCCAAAAUGCUCCAAAUUGCAUCCUUUUGCUUACUUUGUCCUUAAAACCUGAAAACACAUGAAAAUAGCUUAAAAGACUAACUUAACAAAGAAAACACAACAUAAAUGCAUAAGAACUAACUAACUAAGGUGCAUAAAUAUGCUCCUAUCACUGAGCAGCCCAGCUUUUGAGAAAGCAAACGCCUUUUCGAUUUCUGAGCAGGCGCCUUUUCAAUUUCUGAAGCUCCAUCGAGUGCGGAUUUUUAUAGAGGCUGGUAUUAAGUUCCAAAGCAC
Molecule: long non-coding RNA, 1318 nt
Filed under: Malus domestica (apple)
Lineage: Eukaryota; Viridiplantae; Streptophyta; Magnoliopsida; Rosales; Rosaceae
Description: long non-coding RNA (MDOM_LNC020575)
Source: RNAcentral